Molecule: ribosomal RNA, 253 nt
Filed under: uncultured bacterium
Lineage: Bacteria
Description: partial 16S ribosomal RNA
Rfam family: Bacterial small subunit ribosomal RNA
Source: RNAcentral
UACGUAGGGUGCGAGCGUUGUCCGGAAUUAUUGGGCGUAAAGGGCUCGUAGGCGGUUUUUCGCGUCGGGGGUGAAAUCCACUGGCUUAACUGGUGGCUUGCUUUCGAUACGGGCAGACUGGAGGUAUGCAGGGGAGAACGGAAUUCCUGGUGUAGCGGUGAAAUGCGCAGAUAUCAGGAGGAACACCGGUGGCGAAGGCGGUUCUCUGGGCAUGUCCUGACGCUGAGGAGCGAAAGCGUGGGGAGCGAACAGG